CUAGGGCUAAUACGUGCGAAGCGCCCGAAGCCGCGAGGCGACGGGCGUUCUCGCCGGAUGUAGGAACCGACCCGGGGGACCGCCGGGGCAACCCGGCGCCCCCGAGACGGGGCGAACCACGGUGAAAUGACGGAUCGUCGGCCCCGCGCCGGCGACUCGCCGAAUGAGUUCUGACCUAUCAACUCGAGACGGCGGGGUAGAGGCCCGCGCGGUAACGACGGUAACGGGGAAUCAGGGUUCGAUUCCGGAGAGGGAGCCCGAGAAAACGGCUACCACUUCCAAGGAAGGCAGCAGGCGCGCAACUUACCCUAAUCUCGAUUCGAGGAGGUAGUGACAAGAAAUACCGAUGCGGGACCCUACGGGUGCCGCGUUCGGAAUGAGUACGAUUCGAACCACCUAACGAGGAACGAUCGGAGGGCAAGUCUGGUGCCAGCAGCCGCGGUAAUUCCAGCUCCAAUAGCGUACGUUAAAGUUGCUGC
Molecule: ribosomal RNA, 479 nt
Filed under: uncultured eukaryote
Lineage: Eukaryota
Description: bacterial SSU rRNA
Rfam family: Eukaryotic small subunit ribosomal RNA
Source: RNAcentral